UACGUAGGGAGCAAGCGUUGUCCGGAAUCAUUGGGCGUAAAGCGCACGUAGGCGGCUUCUUAAGUCAGGGGUGAAAUCCUGGAGCUCAACUCCAGAACUGCCUUUGAUACUGAGAGGCUUGAGUCCGGGAGAGGUGAGUGGAACUGCGAGUGUAGAGGUGAAAUUCGUAGAUAUUCGCAAGAACACCAGUGGCGAAGGCGGCUCACUGGCCCGGUACUGACGCUGAGGUGCGAAAGCGUGGGGAGCAAACAGG
Molecule: ribosomal RNA, 253 nt
Filed under: uncultured bacterium
Lineage: Bacteria
Description: partial 16S ribosomal RNA
Rfam family: Bacterial small subunit ribosomal RNA
Source: RNAcentral